AACGAACGCUGGCGGCAUGCCUAACACAUGCAAGUCGAACGAGACCUUCGGGUCUAGUGGCGCACGGGUGCGUAACGCGUGGGAACCUGCCCUUAGGUUCGGAAUAACUCCCCGAAAGGGGUGCUAAUACCGGAUAAUGUCUUCGGACCAAAGAUUUAUCGCCUUUGGAUGGGCCCGCGUUGGAUUAGCUAGUUGGUAGGGUAAAAGCCUACCAAGGCGACGAUCCAUAGCUGGUCUGAGAGGAUGAUCAGCCACACUGGGACUGAGACACGGCCCAGACUCCUACGGGAGGCAGCAGUGGGGAAUAUUGGACAAUGGGCGAAAGCCUGAUCCAGCAAUGACGCGUGAGUGAUGAAGGCCGUAGGGUUGUAAAGCUCUUUUACCCGGGAUGAUAAUGACAGUACCGGGAGAAUAAGCUCCGGCUAACUCCGUG
RNAcentral lists this ribosomal RNA (433 nucleotides) under uncultured bacterium. RNAcentral describes it as "partial 16S ribosomal RNA". It matches the Rfam family "Bacterial small subunit ribosomal RNA", at positions 29 to 507 of the family's 1533-position model. The record is from RNAcentral.